This is a small nuclear RNA of Otolemur garnettii (small-eared galago), 103 nucleotides long. The record is from Ensembl. NCBI's taxonomy places the organism in Eukaryota, Metazoa, Chordata, Mammalia, Primates, Galagidae.
GCUUGCUUCGGCAGCAUAUACUAAAAUUGGAACGAUACAGAGAAGAUUAGCAUGGCCCCUACACAAGGAUGACACGCAAAUUUGUGAAGCGUUCCAUAUUUUU